GUCAGAGAGUCCGCGUAGCACAUCGCGGAGUGCUGCUGAGAGAUGGUGAGGGACGAGCAGGGCAAAGGCAUGGGCGGGUCUGUCCAGAUGGGGGCAGCUUUGGACGCUGAUGGUUUACAAUGGAGAUUAUGAAGAUUGUCAUUAAAAAGGAGUUCACAGAUCAAACGAGUGUCUCCCACAUCCUGAUCAGCGUCGUUGGAUCCAAGUGUGGAUUAACAACCAGAGGACCAAGCUGGAGGAUUUUGGUCACCCAGUGAGACACUGAGCAAAACGCUGCCACUGCCUUCCACACACCUGUGUUUUAAAUGUUUAUAUCUAACUUUAGGCCUCCACUCAUCAGUAAAAGAAAAAGGUAGAUGACAUCAUCUGUCCUCCUUCUUUUCCUCGUGCUUUUACUUUUCCCUGCCGAGACAGCCAGCCGUUUCAUUCUGCGACAGACACUGAGGCUUAGCAGGGGGAGGAAAAAGCCAGCCCUCCUCAGCUAUCAAAAGUCUAAUGUCAAUUUAGGUACCUGCCAAUCAAGCCAUCGGAUGCACCUUGAGAGUGUGAAUGUUGGUGUGUGGACAGAAUAUCUUAAGCAGCAACAUGAACCAUUCUAAUCAAUGACAUCUAAUACGGCAACCCCCUGUUUAACUUUUCAGAUUGAGAAUAAAACUUGGUUGAAAGAUG
Xiphophorus hellerii (green swordtail) is the source of this 669-nucleotide long non-coding RNA. RefSeq lists it as uncharacterized. The record is from RefSeq and is a predicted model, not a curated record. NCBI's taxonomy places the organism in Eukaryota, Metazoa, Chordata, Actinopteri, Cyprinodontiformes, Poeciliidae. The transcript has 3 exons.